Molecule: ribosomal RNA, 399 nt
Filed under: Triticum aestivum (bread wheat)
Lineage: Eukaryota; Viridiplantae; Streptophyta; Magnoliopsida; Poales; Poaceae
Description: partial small subunit ribosomal RNA
Source: RNAcentral
AUGGGCUCCCUGCGAAGCAGCACGAGCGCGGCGGUGGAGAGCGUGGACGCGGAGGCGGCGUGUGGGCUGCUGGCCUCGGAGCAGUACGGGUACGUGGACGUGCGGAUGUGGGAGGACUUCGAAAAGGGCCAUGUCGCCGGUGCACGCAACGUGCCCUACUACCUCUCCGUCACACCCCAUGGCAAGGAGCGCAACCCGGACUUCGUCGACCAGGUUGCGGCGCUCCACUCCAAGGAGGACCGGUUCCUUGUUGGCUGCCGCUCUGGGGUCCGGUCCAGGCUCGCCACCGCAGACCUCGUCGCUGCUGGGUUCGCGAACGUGAAGAACCUGCAAGGCGGUUACCUCUCCUUGCUCAAGAGUACCAGUUACCCGCAGCCGCAAGCAGCAAGCCACCAAUGA